This 854-nucleotide long non-coding RNA is filed under the name Homo sapiens (human). Its description in RNAcentral is "HSALNT0334737". The record is from RNAcentral. Lineage: Eukaryota; Metazoa; Chordata; Mammalia; Primates; Hominidae.
UUUGUAGUAAGGUUCAAAUAUUUUUGGAAGUCAUUCAACAUAACAGCCAAAGGAUUUUCUUAGCCUUCAUGUAAUCUUUUCUUUUCACCACCUUUAAUACACCCACAAUAUAGAAAUAUAUUAAUGCCAAGUAAACUCACAUAAAAGAAAUCAUAUUUGUCAGGACUUAAGGUGGGCAUAAAAUAAUAUUGUAAUGACAUUUGAGCAUGCAAUUAUAACAGCAGACACGAAUUCAAAGAUUCAGCAAGAAGAACCAACUGUCAUUUAUUUAUUUCUUUUUCUUCAGACUUCACUGGGCAUUUUUUUAGUCCUGGUUUUAUUUGACAUCUCAGCAACAUUCCACACUACAGGCCAUUCCUGCCUUCUUAGAACUCUCUUUCCUCUAGGUCUGUGUGACAUCAACUCCUCAUUGUUUUCCUCUUCCCUGUUUGGCCAUUUCUUUUUAGUUUUCUGAUAAUCUUCAGUAAUUUAAAAUCUUCUGGAGGUAAUUAUAAGGAACAUCAUUUCAAAGGAUACGGGGAAAAGAGAUGUCACAUGAACACGUCUUAGAAUUUACACUGUAAAUCAAACAAUGUUGCUGCAAAGGCAUGUAAGUUAAUAUAGAAACAAUGGAAGAAUGUAAAGAAAACUCAGAGACAGGGAAGAAAGCCAGGAUAGGCUCCAAGAUCAGCUGGAUGAGAUCACAACAUGUGACCCUCACAGAUGAUAGAUCAAGAAAAUGGGAAGAGCUUCAAAGCCCUGAAACCAUAUAAAGGAGAGUCACCCAACAACUAAAAGCACCCAUCCUAAACUAUUAUGUGAACAAGAAACAAACCUCUAUUAAUAUAUUUGAAUUAUUAAAUAUUUUGAGUCUA